Molecule: long non-coding RNA, 1174 nt
Filed under: Olea europaea subsp. europaea
Lineage: Eukaryota; Viridiplantae; Streptophyta; Magnoliopsida; Lamiales; Oleaceae
Source: RNAcentral
GUAAUGGUCUCCGCAUUUAUCAACUGCAAAAAUUGAUUUCUUCAAUUUCACAGAACAAUGGAUCUAUCAGUUCUUAUUUUAAUAGAUUGAAAGGGCAUCGGGAAGAAUUGGCUCACUACAGGCCACAUAAUUAUAAUCACUACCAAUCUGAUGAUCAGGUUAUGCAAUUUUUGAUGGGCUUAGACAAUUCCUAUAAUGCUGUUAGAAGCCAGAUCCUUCUUAUGGAUCCAAUUCUUCCAUUGAAUCGUGUUUUUGCGAUGGUUUCUCGAGAAGAAAAGCAAAGACAGGUUACAUCUUUACAUCAAAAUGUAGAGGCUGCUGCUUUUGCCAAUCAUGGUGCUCUCAAUCAACAACAGUUUGUCAAGCACACAAACAGUAACAACCAGGGACAAAGGAAGGAUAGACCUAUUUGUAGUUAUUGUGGCAUCACUGGCCAUAAGAAAAAUGAGUGUUAUAAACUACAUGGAUACCCUCUAGGACAUCGUUUGGCCAAGAAAUCACCUACAAAUGCGUCAGCACAUCAAGUCUCUACAUCAGAUUGUUCUGAGUACUACAUAAUCUCAGUAACAUUACCACAACUCCUAACCAAUGUCAACAGAUUAUCUUUAUGCUAAAGCCUCAACUUGAAGCUUUUAUACCUUCAUCUGUUGCUUCAACUUCCACCGGUGCUGUAAAUCAUGUUGGAGAUUUGCAAGUUGCAUCAACUCACUCUUCAAUGAUGCCUUUUGCUAUAGCUUUCUCAGGUAGUAGCUUAGUAUGUUCAGUUUAUACAUACACAGAAAAUACUUGGAUAAUUGAUAUUGGGCAACAGAUCAUAUUGUCUGCUCUGUCCAACAACUCACCACUAUCACAGCUACUAUUAAUAGAACUGUUAGAUUACCCAAUGGCUAUGUUGCCACAGUCACACAUGUAGGAACGGUUCAGCUAUCAAGUGACCUUAUUCUGACAAAUGUCCUUUGUGUUCCAUGCUUCACUUUUAAUUUGAUAUCUGUCAGUAGAUUAAUUUCAAUCCAUCAUUGUUGUGUAAUUAUCAUGUUUGCUUACUGCUUCAUUCAGGAUCUUUUGUCUUGGAAGACGAUUGGGGUAGGGAAAAUUGAUGGUGGUCUCUAUCACUUACAACUUCAAACACCUCAUCAACAACUUCAAAAUAUAGCCUCCAGUUUACCAAAGUCUG